GCAGUAGCCGCGGGAACACGUAGGUGGCAAGCGUUGUCCGGAAUUAUUGGGCGUAAAGGGCUCGCAGGCGGUUUCUUAAGUCUGAUGUGAAAGCCCCCGGCUCAACCGGGGAGGGUCAUUGGAAACUGGGAAACUUGAGUGCAGAAGAGGAGAGUGGAAUUCCACGUGUAGCGGUGAAAUGCGUAGAGAUGUGGAGGAACACCAGUGGCGAAGGCGACUCUCUGGUCUGUAACUGACGCUGAGGAGCGAAAGCGUGGGGAGCGAACAGGAUUAGAUACCCCGGUAGUCCCUGUCUCUUAUAC
This 302-nucleotide ribosomal RNA is filed under the name uncultured bacterium. RNAcentral's name for it is "partial 16S ribosomal RNA". It matches the Rfam family "Bacterial small subunit ribosomal RNA", at positions 508 to 807 of the family's 1533-position model. The record is from RNAcentral.